Molecule: long non-coding RNA, 532 nt
Organism: Herpailurus yagouaroundi (jaguarundi)
Lineage: Eukaryota; Metazoa; Chordata; Mammalia; Carnivora; Felidae
Exons: 3
Source: RefSeq, a predicted model, not a curated record
CAGGUUUCUAGCAGGCCAAGGGCAGGGCCUGGUCUAGAAUAGAAAGUUGACAGACAACAGAACACCGUGCUUAAGCCGGACUGAGAGAAUGGAAAAACUGAUCCACAGGAGGUCCGCCCUGCCAAUUCAGCGGCAGUUGGAGGAAGUGCUUUCAAAAUAUAAUGUGUGGAGGCUGGCAGACCAGCACAGGAAGACAUGCCAAAGCUUGCAAGCUCCCUAUCUAAGACAGGGUGGAUUCCACAUGGCUAAAUCAUAGCUUUUCAAAAGGUUCUUGAAGUCGGAGAUUCGAUUAUUGAUGUGAAACUUUUCUUCUUUUCUAAGAUGAAGAUACUGAGGAAUAAAGAAGUUACAGAUUGGCUUAGUUUUGUAUUUCAUCAGUGUCAGAUACAUGCCAGGCACCUGGUAAGUAUUUAUUGAAUCAAUUUGCUUGUAGGCCUGUUAAUAUUUUCUAGCAGAACCCACUUACAUCGUUGAUUUUAUUCAGUAAGAAGAAAUUUUGAGAAUCUAUUUAGAGGAAAAAACAUUUGCUUGC